Helianthus annuus (common sunflower) is the source of this 887-nucleotide long non-coding RNA. RefSeq lists it as uncharacterized. The record is from RefSeq and is a predicted model, not a curated record. The transcript is spliced from 4 exons. NCBI's taxonomy places the organism in Eukaryota, Viridiplantae, Streptophyta, Magnoliopsida, Asterales, Asteraceae.
ACAACGUUUCCUAGGGUUUCAUAAAUCAAUUAUCGUUUACUCGCAACAGCUCUUGCUCAAUUCCGCUAGGGUUUCAGAGGGACUUGAAUCAUUCAACACCGGUUGAACAGCGAUUCUGUCGUGAUGUGAUCGAACAUCUUAUGAGAUCGUGCAAUUGGAAUCGUUCAACAUCGAUUUAAUCAGGUUCAAUCAUCCUGCAAUUAGAAUUUUUCAUCGGCGAUUCAAUCAGACGCAAUCAUUCGUGCAUUUGCAAUUGGAACCUUCUCUAACAUCAUUCAAUUGGAAUCAUCAUUCUGAAAUAAGUCGAAAUCAUUGUUCAAUUGGAAUCAUCAUUCGGAGAUCUGGUUUCAAUCAAUUCUCUAUUCACUCGGUACGUCGUGCUUAAACAUCGAAGGCGGCUGGUGGAUUUCAAUCGGUGAUUCAUUUGAAUAUCUUGUUUUCAAGUUUAGUUGAUCAUUUAAUCAAUCUACACAGAUUCAAUAUCUCUGAAUAUUUAUCAGGAAUUCGUAUUUAUUGUUGGAUAAGGUUAAAUCUGGUUGCUGAUUUUGGGAGAUUAGUAGAGAAUGGAGAAAUCGAGUGCUUUAGACUACAUCAACCAUAUGUUUCCUACAAUUCACCUUAUUUUAUAAUAGGGCUGGCGUAAGCUUAUGUCUGCAGCAGUGUGAUACACGGUCACUGAUUUGGAUCCAUCCAACCGAUGCUCCAAGCCAUUUUAGAUGGCAGACAUCUGCCAAAGUUGAAUUAUUAAAGGUCUGGAUGCUCCCUUUGUGAAUACUACUGAUUAAUAUGUUUAUUGCUUACUUCUGUUUCGUAGUCAAUUUUUACCUCUACUAUAGUUAAAGACUGAUGGAUACCGUUGGAAUGAAAGUACUGGCAAACAAUCGUAU